CAGGCCUAACACAUGCAAGUCGAGCGGGGAGAUGUAGCUUGCUACAUUUCCUAGCGGCGGACGGGUGAGUAAUGCUUAGGAAUCUGCCUAUUAGUGGGGGACAACAUUCCGAAAGGAAUGCUAAUACCGCAUACGCCCUACGGGGGAAAGCAGGGGAUCUUCGGACCUUGCGCUAAUAGAUGAGCCUAAGUCAGAUUAGCUAGUUGGUGGGGUAAAGGCCUACCAAGGCGACGAUCUGUAGCGGGUCUGAGAGGAUGAUCCGCCACACUGGGACUGAGACACGGCCCAGACUCCUACGGGAGGCAGCAGUGGGGAAUAUUGGACAAUGGGCGCAAGCCUGAUCCAGCCAUGCCGCGUGUGUGAAGAAGGCCUUUUGGUUGUAAAGCACUUUAAGCGAGGAGGAGGCUACUUAGAUUAAUACUCUAGGAUAGUGGACGUUACUCGCAGAAUAAGCACCGGCUAACUCUGUGCCAGCAGCCGCGGUAAUACAGAGGGUGCGAGCGUUAAUCGGAUUUACUGGGCGUAAAGCGUGCGUAGGCGGCUUCUUAAGUCGGAUGUGAAAUCCCUGAGCUUAACUUAGGAAUUGCAUUCGAUACUGGGAAGCUAGAGUAUGGGAGAGGAUGGUAGAAUUCCAGGUGUAGCGGUGAAAUGCGUAGAGAUCUGGAGGAAUACCGAUGGCGAAGGCAGCCAUCUGGCCUAAUACUGACGCUGAGGUACGAAAGCAUGGGGAGCAAACAGGAUUAGAUACCC
RNAcentral lists this ribosomal RNA (750 nucleotides) under uncultured bacterium. RNAcentral describes it as "bacterial SSU rRNA". It matches the Rfam family "Bacterial small subunit ribosomal RNA", at positions 43 to 787 of the family's 1533-position model. The record is from RNAcentral.